This 71-nucleotide transfer RNA is filed under the name Candidatus Wildermuthbacteria bacterium RIFCSPHIGHO2_01_FULL_49_22b. RNAcentral describes it as "tRNA-Pro". It matches the Rfam family "tRNA". From Rfam's summary of the family: Transfer RNA (tRNA) molecules are approximately 80 nucleotides in length. Their secondary structure includes four short double-helical elements and three loops (D, anti-codon, and T loops). Lineage: Bacteria; Candidatus Wildermuthiibacteriota. The record is from RNAcentral.
CGGAGAGUAGUGUAACGGUAGCACGAAUCCUUUGGGAGGAUUUAGCCCGGGUUCGAAUCCCGGCCCUCCGA